UGGGCGCAGCCUGAUGCAGCCAUGCCGCGUGUGUGAAGAAGGCCUUCGGGUUGUAAAGCACUUUCAGUCGUGAGGAAGGUAGUGUAGUUAAUAGCUGCAUUAUUUGACGUUAGCGACAGAAGAAGCACCGGCUAACUCCGUGCCAGCAGCCGCGGUAAUACGGAGGGUGCGAGCGUUAAUCGGAAUUACUGGGCGUAAAGCGCAUGCAGGUGGUUUGUUAAGUCAGAUGUGAAAGCCCGGGGCUCAACCUCGGAAUAGCAUUUGAAACUGGCAGACUAGAGUACUGUAGAGGGGGGUAGAAUUUCAGGUGUAGCGGUGAAAUGCGUAGAGAUCUGAAGGAAUACCGGUGGCGAAGGCGGCCCCCUGGACAGAUACUGACACUCAGAUGCGAAAGCGUGGGGAGCAAACAGGAUUAGAUACCCUGGUAGUCCACGCCGUAAACGAUGUCUACUUGGAGGUUGUGGCCUUGAGCCGUGGCUUUCGGAGCUAACGCGUUAAGUAGACCGCCUGGGGAGUACGGUCGCAAGAUUAAAACUCAAAUGAAUUGACGGGGGCCCGCACAAGCGGUGGAGCAUGUGGUUUAAUUCGAUGCAACGCGAAGAACCUUACCUACUCUUGACAUCCAGAGAACUUUCCAGAGAUGGAUUGGUGCCUUCGGGAACUCUGAGACAGGUGCUGCAUGGCUGUCGUCAGCUCGUGUUGUGAAAUGUUGGGUUAAGUCCCGCAACGAGCGCAACCCUUAUCCUUGUUUGCCAGCGAGUAAUGUCGGGAACUCCAGGGAGACUGCCGGUGAUAAACCGGAGGAAGGUGGGGACGACGUCAAGUCAUCAUGGCCCUUA
RNAcentral lists this ribosomal RNA (839 nucleotides) under Vibrio rotiferianus. Its description in RNAcentral is "bacterial SSU rRNA". It matches the Rfam family "Bacterial small subunit ribosomal RNA", at positions 372 to 1204 of the family's 1533-position model. The record is from RNAcentral. Lineage: Bacteria; Pseudomonadati; Pseudomonadota; Gammaproteobacteria; Vibrionales; Vibrionaceae. RNAcentral also lists the same sequence under 1 other name.